This 228-nucleotide ribosomal RNA is filed under the name uncultured eukaryote. Its description in RNAcentral is "partial 18S ribosomal RNA". It matches the Rfam family "Eukaryotic small subunit ribosomal RNA", at positions 1208 to 1456 of the family's 1831-position model. The record is from RNAcentral.
GGAAAUCUCACCAGGCCCGGACACUGGAAGGAUUGACAGAUUGAUACCUCUUUCUUGAUUCUGUGGGUGGUGGUGCAUGGCCGUUCUUAGUUGGUGGAGUGAUUUGUCUGGUUAAUUCCGAUAACGAAUGAGACUCUGUCCUGCUAAAUAGUGACGCGGUUCAUCGAACCGUGGGCCACUUCUUAGAGGGACUAUCGGAUUCAAACCGAUGGAAGUGUGAGGCAAUAA